AUGUUUUUGCUGCAAGGACAGUCCACGGGAAGUUGUAACAGCAUCAUUAUUUAUACUCACGAAAAUUGUUACUGUGACGCAGGUCAUUUUGUUUCACUGAACAUGGCUUCUCGAGACUUCACACUCUUUGUCCAAACUCUGGUCUUCCUCACACUCUUUGUUGGCUUGAAUGUGUAUUUUGUGGAUUUCUUUGUAGUGCUUAGGGUUUGUUGGUGGUCCACUGGCAGGUGGUUUUGCAACGCUGUCGGUUUCAAGGCAUGGAAAAUGUCGCGUGGGAAAUGUGUGCGAUCUUCAGGAAAAUGA
RNAcentral lists this ribosomal RNA (303 nucleotides) under Triticum aestivum (bread wheat). RNAcentral's name for it is "partial small subunit ribosomal RNA". The record is from RNAcentral. Lineage: Eukaryota; Viridiplantae; Streptophyta; Magnoliopsida; Poales; Poaceae.